This 324-nucleotide ribosomal RNA is filed under the name uncultured eukaryote. RNAcentral describes it as "partial 18S ribosomal RNA". It matches the Rfam family "Eukaryotic small subunit ribosomal RNA", at positions 1470 to 1796 of the family's 1831-position model. The record is from RNAcentral.
CCCUUAGAUGUUCUGGGCCGCACGCGCGCUACACUGAUGCAUUCAACGAGCCUAUCCUUGACCGACAGGUCCGGGUAAUCUUUGAAUCUGCAUCGUGACGGGGAUAGAUUAUUGCAAUUAUUAAUCUUCAACGAGGAAUGCCUAGUAGGCGCAAGUCAUCAGCUUGCGUCGAUUACGUCCCUGCCCUUUGUACACACCGCCCGUCGCUCCUACCGAUUGAACGUUUUAGUGAGGCAUUUGGACCGACGCAUCUCAGUUUAACCGCUGGUUUGUGUUGGAAAGACUUCCAAACUUGAGCGUUUAGAGGAAGUAAAAGUCGUAACA